RNAcentral lists this unclassified non-coding RNA (906 nucleotides) under Hevea brasiliensis (rubber tree). The record is from RNAcentral. Lineage: Eukaryota; Viridiplantae; Streptophyta; Magnoliopsida; Malpighiales; Euphorbiaceae.
AGGCAAUUCACCAAUAAGCUUCAGAUUGUUUGUUCUGAUAAUAGAAAUAUCAUCCUAGCUCUAACUAAAUUACUGCAAUCUAUGGCACUCUAACAGACUGACCACUAUUAAAAGAUUCCUGUACAGUGAAGAACUGAUUAGUGUUCAGGGGCAUAAGGCUCCAGUAAGCACCAUUUUUGUCUAUACAACAGCUGUGCCAUUUGAUUUGGUAAGAACCCACAGGGAAUGCAGAAACAUUUAGCAAGCAGGUUGCAAAUCCUUGCCCUUUCUCAUUAGGAUCAAAACACACAAAUUUAUCCACAGCCGAACUCCCUCCAGCAUUUUCCAUAGCACGUAAUCCAUCCCUCUCGGUAGUCCCUGUUGUGAAGUGCAAUAGUUUGUCAUUAAGGCCUACCAUGUGAUCGCUUUUCCAAGCUUGGCAAAUGGACUCUGAUACCUUCUUAUCCCUGUUUGCACUGAAUACUUGAAAGGAUGUCCUUGAGUGAAGGAUGCAAUACAACUUCGACACUUGAGACAGCUGGUCUUGCGAUAUAUUUCUUAGCUGAAUACACAGAGUUAGAGGGAGCUGAAAGCCUGAGAAGACAGAUAUAUCGUCUAUCCUUUUACCAUCUUCAUUUGUUAUGAAAAGUUCAGCAGAAAUAGGGGGCCUUAAUUGAAAAAAAUGCUUGGGAGUCCGAAAAGGAAUCUGUAUCCACGAGAAAAUAAUAUUGAACAGCAACGGCAAAGCAUCACGAGGAAUUUGGGAUAUACCAUUAUUUUCAUGUACAAGAAUCGCUUGCAAACUAAGAAGUCUCUGAACGGAAUAUUUACAAAGUUUAGCAAUAUCUCUUGCUUCAACAGAAGUUGUAGAGACUUCAUUUCGGAAUUCUUGCGUGGAACAGCUCCUAGAGCUUCGAUGGAAAUCCA